RNAcentral lists this ribosomal RNA (254 nucleotides) under uncultured bacterium. RNAcentral's name for it is "partial 16S ribosomal RNA". It matches the Rfam family "Bacterial small subunit ribosomal RNA", at positions 524 to 776 of the family's 1533-position model. The record is from RNAcentral.
UACGGAGGGUGCAAGCGUUGUUCGGAAUUACUGGGCGUAAAGCGUGUGUAGGCGGUGACCAUAAGUCGGGUGUGAAAGCCCUGGGCUCAACCCAGGAACUGCGCUCGAUACUGUGGCACUAGAAUUCGGGAGAGGGAUGUGGAAUUCCUGGUGUAGGGGUGAAAUCCGUAGAGAUCAGGAGGAACACUCGCGGCGAAGGCGACAUCCUGGACCGUAAUUGACGCUGAGACACGAAAGCAUGGGUAGCAAACAGG